Molecule: non-coding RNA, 28 nt
Filed under: Rattus norvegicus (Norway rat)
Lineage: Eukaryota; Metazoa; Chordata; Mammalia; Rodentia; Muridae
Source: RNAcentral
UGUACAAGGAAGGGCGCUACCUUUAUGC